This 117-nucleotide microRNA precursor is filed under the name Gossypium arboreum. RNAcentral describes it as "MIR7504 microRNA precursor family". It matches the Rfam family "MIR7504 microRNA precursor family". Lineage: Eukaryota; Viridiplantae; Streptophyta; Magnoliopsida; Malvales; Malvaceae. The record is from Rfam by way of RNAcentral.
AAUUGGAGAAUAACAAAUAAGAUUUUUUUUUUUCAGCUUUUUCCCCCUUAGAAAAUUCAAAUCCAACUAAAAAUACUAAAAACCAUGAGGAAAAAUCUGACUUGUUAUUCUCCUAUU